RNAcentral lists this ribosomal RNA (422 nucleotides) under uncultured bacterium. RNAcentral describes it as "bacterial SSU rRNA". It matches the Rfam family "Bacterial small subunit ribosomal RNA", at positions 355 to 774 of the family's 1533-position model. The record is from RNAcentral.
UAGGGAAUCUUCCACAAUGGACGAAAGUCUGAUGGAGCAACGCCGCGUGAGCGAUGAAGGCCUUCGGGUCGUAAAGCUCUGUUGUUAGGGAAGAACAAGUACCGGAGUAACUGCCGGUACCUUGACGGUACCUAACCAGAAAGCCACGGCUAACUACGUGCCAGCAGCCGCGGUAAUACGUAGGUGGCAAGCGUUGUCCGGAAUUAUUGGGCGUAAAGCGCGCGCAGGCGGUCCUUUAAGUCUGAUGUGAAAGCCCACGGCUCAACCGUGGAGGGUCAUUGGAAACUGGGGGACUUGAGUACAGGAAAGCGGAAUUCCACGUGUAGCGGUGAAAUGCGUAGAGAUGUGGAGGAACACCAGUGGCGAAGGCGGCUUUCUGGUCUGUAACUGACGCUGAGGCGCGAAAGCGUGGGGAGCAAACA